GGGUGAUUAGCUCAGCUGGUUUAGAGCACUACCUCGACAAGGUAGGGGUCGGCGGUUCGAACCCGUCAUCACCCA
RNAcentral lists this transfer RNA (75 nucleotides) under Sphingobacteriaceae bacterium. RNAcentral's name for it is "tRNA-Val". It matches the Rfam family "tRNA". From Rfam's summary of the family: Transfer RNA (tRNA) molecules are approximately 80 nucleotides in length. Their secondary structure includes four short double-helical elements and three loops (D, anti-codon, and T loops). Further hydrogen bonds mediate the characteristic L-shaped molecular structure. tRNAs have two regions of fundamental functional importance: the anti-codon, which is responsible for specific mRNA codon recognition, and the 3' end, to which the tRNAs corresponding amino acid is attached (by aminoacyl-tRNA synthetases). tRNAs cope with the degeneracy of the genetic code in two manners: having more than one tRNA (with a specific anti-codon) for a particular amino acid; and 'wobble' base-pairing, i.e. permitting non-standard base-pairing at the 3rd anti-codon position. Lineage: Bacteria; Pseudomonadati; Bacteroidota; Sphingobacteriia; Sphingobacteriales; Sphingobacteriaceae. The record is from RNAcentral.